CAGACAGGAAAUGGAAAUGUAUGGUGUCACUCUGAAAAGGUGUAAGGGUUUGAAUAAGAAGGAUUUGGCGGCUUGCUCCAGCUUUCAAAGGCAAGUUCAGGUAAAGCCUCCAGCCACGAUAAGUCCACACGCCCUGCCCACUAAUGCGGCCGUUGUACCAGAAUUCAGCAGCUGAAGCAGGUCUUAGUCAGUCUGCAGACUGGAUGUGACUCCCGAGCCACAUUUUGAAGAGAGACGUGCUGGUCCUGAAGUAUGGUGAAUUCACUUCCAGGCAUAAAGAAAAGAAAGAGCAGGAAAUAUAAUUUGGGAGAUUUUAAUGGCCAGACUUGGAAGUGGUGUGCAUAACUAUUGUCUGCAUUCAGAACACCAUCAUUUGCCCCAGGUUGCUGGAAGAGAAGCAGGAAAAGUAUCCUCAUGUGAGCCCAGGAGGUUUGGGUCUGGUCUUGGUGCAAGAAAGCAGAGACAUUUCAAGGUGAGGUUGUUACUCAGCAAGGGCUUGCCACCCUAUAUGCACAGAAACCAAUACAAUGGCAUACUGGUCUUUGAAAGAAGUUUAUCGCACCAUGGAUUGGCAAGGAAACAGAAGGACCGGCUCUCAAUUAUGUCGCCACCAUCCAGAGUAUAAGGAUCAGGACUGAUCAGAAGCUCAUUCCUAGACAUUUGCUACUGUUUGGAGAUCUGAAGAGGGCUAAAUUCCUGAUCUAACAAGAGAGGUAUCCCUCCCCCCUCUUAAAUUUAAUUGCCUAGUUACACAGACCAGUUUAUGGUUGGGGCUGUCAAAUGACACUUGAUGCAAAUGGGCAAUCCCAAGAAACAAAUCUUAUCUCC
This 828-nucleotide long non-coding RNA is filed under the name Equus caballus (horse). RNAcentral's name for it is "lncRNA (ENSECAG00000056010.1)". The record is from RNAcentral. Lineage: Eukaryota; Metazoa; Chordata; Mammalia; Perissodactyla; Equidae.